Molecule: ribosomal RNA, 492 nt
Filed under: uncultured bacterium
Lineage: Bacteria
Description: partial 16S ribosomal RNA
Rfam family: Bacterial small subunit ribosomal RNA
Source: RNAcentral
AGUGAACGCUGGCGGUAGGCCUAACACAUGCAAGUCGAACGGCAGCACAGUAAGAGCUUGCUCUUACGGGUGGCGAGUGGCGGACGGGUGAGGAAUACAUCGGAAUCUACUUUUUCGUGGGGGAUAACGUAGGGAAACUUACGCUAAUACCGCAUACGACCUACGGGUGAAAGCAGGGGAUCUUCGGACCUUGCGCGAUUGAAUGAGCCGAUGUCGGAUUAGCUAGUUGGCGGGGUAAAGGCCCACCAAGGCGACGAUCCGUAGCUGGUCUGAGAGGAUGAUCAGCCACACUGGAACUGAGACACGGUCCAGACUCCUACGGGAGGCAGAAGUGGGGAAUAUUGGACAAUGGGCGCAAGCCUGAUCCAGCCAUACCGCGUGGGUGAAGGAGGCCUUCGGGUUGUAAAGCCCUUUUGUUGGGAAAGAAAAGCAGCAGGUUAAUACCCCGCUGUUCUGACGGUACCCAAAGAAUAAGCACCGGCUAACUUCGUG